CUAUAGUCAAUGAGACAAAUCAGGUUAUUUAACUUGUGGUGGCCCUGUGUGCAAUGGCUGCAUACAGUAGACUCUUCGGUAGCAUACACAGCUUUAAUGGGUAUCCUAAGGGACCUUAGAGACAGUC
Small nucleolar RNA from Marmota marmota marmota (Alpine marmot), 127 nucleotides. Its record names the gene SNORA70. It matches the Rfam family "Small nucleolar RNA SNORA70". From Rfam's summary of the family: snoRNA U70 seems to be exclusive to mammals and is a member of the H/ACA class of snoRNA which contain H (ANANNA) and ACA box motifs. H/ACA box snoRNAs are involved in the conversion of uridines to pseudouridines (5-ribosyluracil) a constituent of structural RNAs (transfer, ribosomal, small nuclear, and small nucleolar). NCBI's taxonomy places the organism in Eukaryota, Metazoa, Chordata, Mammalia, Rodentia, Sciuridae. The record is from Ensembl.